Molecule: ribosomal RNA, 569 nt
Filed under: uncultured Gammaproteobacteria bacterium
Lineage: Bacteria; Pseudomonadati; Pseudomonadota; Gammaproteobacteria
Description: bacterial SSU rRNA
Rfam family: Bacterial small subunit ribosomal RNA
Source: RNAcentral
UCGAUUUGGAGUUUGUUGCCCUGAGUGAUGGGCUCCGAAGCUAACGCGAUAAAUCGACCGCCUGGGGAGUACGGCCGCAAGGUUAAAACUCAAAUGAAUUGACGGGGGCCCGCACAAGCGGUGGAGCAUGUGGUUUAAUUCGAUGCAACGCGAAGAACCUUACCUGGUCUUGACAUCCACAGAAUCUUGCAGAGAUGCGGGAGUGCCUUCGGGAACUGUGAGACAGGUGCUGCAUGGCUGUCGUCAGCUCGUGUUGUGAAAUGUUGGGUUAAGUCCCGCAACGAGCGCAACCCUUAUCCUUUGUUGCCAUCGGUUAGGCCGGGAACUCAAAGGAGACUGCCGUUGAUAAAGCGGAGGAAGGUGGGGACGACGUCAAGUCAUCAUGGCCCUUACGACCAGGGCUACACACGUGCUACAAUGGCGUAUACAAAGGGAGGCGACCUCGCGAGAGCAAGCGGACCUCAUAAAGUACGUCUAAGUCCGGAUUGGAGUCUGCAACUCGACUCCAUGAAGUCGGAAUCGCUAGUAAUCGUGAAUCAGAAUGUCACGGUGAAUACGUUCCCGGGCCU